This 1704-nucleotide long non-coding RNA is filed under the name Rattus norvegicus (Norway rat). RNAcentral's name for it is "long non-coding RNA NONRATT031186". Lineage: Eukaryota; Metazoa; Chordata; Mammalia; Rodentia; Muridae. The record is from RNAcentral.
AACGAUUUGUUUAAACUUUUACCACUAUUCAUUAAGCUCUCUCUGUUAUAACAUUAUGAUCUGUGUUUGCCACUUAUUGAAUUAUUUAAGCUAAGCUGGUAGGCAAUUAAAAUUAAUUUAAGUCAAAAAGUAUCUAACACAUCUAGGCUAAAGAAAAAAAAUACUUAGUUGAAAUGUAUUUGUCCUUCCAAUAUUAGAUUUACCUAAACAUUUUCCUUUUAACAUCAACUGUUCAUGAUCCAGGACUGUCUGUCCAUGUAUGUCCUGUAAAUUAGCAGGCUUAAGUCUACUGAUUAAUUCAACAGAGUUCAGAAUCCCUGGGGAUGUCAAUGUCACUGCUUGGCAAUACCAUAUGUAUUGCCUAUUUUUUCCAGUGACUUUUCUUUCUAAGUUCUCUUAAAGAGGUUUGCGAAAGUAAGAAGUUAAGCUAAAAUAUAUCCAAUGUUUGGUAGUGUAUCAUAUUGCAGCAUUAAACCAACAACCCUUUAUGACUUAUACACAGCUAAUGCAUGGUUUGAGAGUGGAUUUUGCAUUUUUCAUGUGCAGUAAAUUAUUUAAAAUGUUUUUGGUCACCUUUUUGUGCCAUUAAACUUGUACAGAAAAUGCUCUUAUGGCCAUUUUCAAAGGGAGAAAGUUUAAAAUGGAAACAGCCCACCCUUUCUGCCCUAUAGCUGUAGUUAGAAUUGAGUACGUGUAGAAAAACGGCUGUAAUUGGUGGUUGUAGUGUUAGAGUUUGUUAGCUGGCUAGUGACUACCUUUGGAGAGUAAAUGCAUGGUCUUGUACAUCACAUUUCUUAAAUAACUCUUUUUAACCUCGGAAAAGAAUAUAUUAUUCCAUGUGGCCCUCUUCCCUCCCUCCACUCCCUGCUCCCAGAUAUCUUACCAUUAACUGUAAAUAACCGAUUUAGGGGCCAAGAAUUCCUGCCAAGUAAAGUCAGAAACGAGCAAAAAAACCAAGGGGCGUGUGUGAAGAGAAUUUUACAACAAUUUCUCAGAAGUCAUUGACCAUUUCUAAAGGAAAGGCACGGUUAUCAAAGCUUCAGCUGUCUUUGACCUAAAAAUCAGAGGCAAAUUGGGAGGGUCUUUGGCUGCCAGAUUACAGUAUAGAAUUGAAUAAUUCUUAGAAUCAUACAACCCAAGGAUGUCCCUGAUCCCUGCACUAGUUGUGAGGUAUUUGGAUGCAUCAAAGGUGUGUUGACCUAUAUUUAUUGGGGACAAAAGAAAAGCAAAUGUGCAACGAAUGCUCAGGGGUUUCAGCUAGGCCCCAGUCAGCAAAAGCAAGGAGGUGAGUUUAGAUAGAUGCAUUGUCUGUUUCCCAGGCAAUGCUUAGACUUUGAGUGAUACAAAGGCAGUGUUUCAAGAAGACACUCUCUUCUUUGGUUUGCUGUUCUCUCUUGGACUGGUAUGUUUGGCAAGGCCCAUGUAAGCUGGUUAGAGCAGGUCUUUUAUCUCCCCCACCAUAAUUUGAUGAGGGCUCUUUGGUUUGAGGACUUCAAGGCUGUCUAGAGAAGUUCCCCCAUGUGUGUGAGGUGUUGUGAACUGUGAACACUGUACAUCUUCAGUGUUCAAUACAGGGCAGCCAAAGAGCUGCUCUUGCAAUCUUUUUUGGCUCUCAAGCUCUGUUCUCCAUCGAAUUCUCAUUUCUGUGUACAUUUGCAAGAUGUGUGUAAUGUCAUUUUCCAAAAAUAAAAUUUGAUUUCAAUA